GAUGAACGCUGGCGGCGUGCUUAAUACAUGCAAGUCGAACGGAAAGUUCCUGCCUUGGUGGGGUGCGCGAGUGGCGAACGGGUGAGUAACACGUGGGUAACCUGCCCUUGACUUUGGGAUAACUUCAGGAAACUGGGGCUAAUACCGGAUAGGAGCGCAUGCUGCAUGGCGGGGGUUGGAAAGUUUCGGCGUUUGGGGAUGGAACCGCGGCUUAUGCGCUUCUUGGGGGGGUAGUGGCGUACCACGGCUUCGACGGGUAGCCGGCCUGGGAGGGUGACCGGCCCCAUUGGGCUUCGGAAGGCACCCGGAGUCCUUCGGGCGCCAUGGGUGGGAAUUUGUGCACGCUGGGCCGCAGCCUGGUGCAGCACCGCCGCGUCCUGGAUCUCUGCCUUUGGGUUAUAACCAGCUUUCGCCUGUGACGAAGCGUGCUUGACGGUACCUGGUCAGAAAGCACCGGCUAACUACGUG
RNAcentral lists this ribosomal RNA (468 nucleotides) under uncultured bacterium. RNAcentral's name for it is "partial 16S ribosomal RNA". It matches the Rfam family "Bacterial small subunit ribosomal RNA", at positions 28 to 507 of the family's 1533-position model. The record is from RNAcentral.